Long non-coding RNA from Oreochromis niloticus (Nile tilapia), 677 nucleotides. RefSeq lists it as uncharacterized. NCBI's taxonomy places the organism in Eukaryota, Metazoa, Chordata, Actinopteri, Cichliformes, Cichlidae. The transcript has 3 exons. The record is from RefSeq and is a predicted model, not a curated record.
GGGUCACUUAGCGACCUGAUCAGUACAGCCCUGAGUCUACAGUUUGGAUGCCCCAGAUGAGUAAAAAGUUCUUCUGCGUCUUCCUCCAGUCUCACUGAUUUCAUGUGCAGCUCUCUCAGAUGGGAGGGGUCUGAGUAGCUGCUGAGGCCUGAAAGAGGAGUGAGAGCUGAAAAGCAGGACAGAGCUGUGUGUGGUACAAAGAUGAACUGAAGUGUGCAGCGGCAAAGCUGCUAAAAGCAAUCUGGUUAAAACCCUUUGUAAAGAAACCAGCACUCAUCUUUCAGUGCUGUGUGCGUGAAAGCUGCGUGCUUCCUAUCACAGUCUCAUAUGAUUAAUUUCUGACCACUCACUGUGAUGUUAUCAAGAUUUACAUCAAUGUUAUUAUCACUGACUGUACUGAAGAACCUGAAUGAUUUAAUUUCUAUUGUUGAAAAUAAAUCAAUGACAACAUUCCAUUACGUUCACAUUUGGCCACAGUGGCUGUUUCAGCUGAAGAUAUAGAUGUAUAAAAAUUGAAUCCUCCAAAUAAUUUUCUAUUAUAAAAACAUUUUUAGUGUUUGCAAUACCUCAGCAACAUUUCUGACAAAAUAACUGACAUGUAAUGUUUAGAAUAAAUAACUGGAAUAGUGUAAUAAGAGCAAUGAUGUUUUCUAGUAAGAUUAAUUUUAGGAACUAAA